ACUUACGAUGCAUGACCAAAAACACACCUGGCUGAUGUUCCCGUUCUAAGAAGUCGAUAACACUGGAGUGAGACUAUUUAUUUGAGCCAGUUUAGCUGUUAUGUAACAGAUUGGUGCCCAUACACCACAUACAUGGAGUCGAGUAGUAUGUGGUGUAAGUAGGAGGUAAGAACCGACCAACACACAGCGACGGAGAGAUAGCCAAGUAAAACCUAAAAGAGACAAAUGGCAGCCCGCAAUGCCACAAACUCACCGGUAAGAUGCAGCUCACAUGACCGGCACUCUUCCAACAACUGGCACGACGACACAAAAA
Hippocampus zosterae (dwarf seahorse) is the source of this 313-nucleotide long non-coding RNA. RefSeq lists it as uncharacterized. NCBI's taxonomy places the organism in Eukaryota, Metazoa, Chordata, Actinopteri, Syngnathiformes, Syngnathidae. The transcript is spliced from 2 exons. The record is from RefSeq and is a predicted model, not a curated record.